This 301-nucleotide ribosomal RNA is filed under the name uncultured bacterium. Its description in RNAcentral is "partial 16S ribosomal RNA". It matches the Rfam family "Bacterial small subunit ribosomal RNA", at positions 509 to 807 of the family's 1533-position model. The record is from RNAcentral.
CAGCAGCCACGGUAAUACGAAGGGUGCAAACGUUAAUCGGAAUUACUGGGCGUAAAGCGUGCGUAGGCGGUGAGUUAAGUCUGCUGUGAAAUCCCCGGGCUCAACCUGGGAAUGGCGGUGGAUACUGGCUCGCUAGAGUGUGUCAGAGGAUGGUGGAAUUCCCGGUGUAGCGGUGAAAUGCGUAGAGAUCGGGAGGAACAUCAGUGGCGAAGGCGGCCAUCUGGGACAACACUGACGCUGAGGCACGAAAGCGUGGGGAGCAAACAGGAUUAGAUACCCCAGUAGUCCCUGUCUCUUAUAC